GAUGAACGCUGGCGGCGUGCCUAAUACAUGCAAGUCGAGCGAACGGACGAGAAGAUUGCUUCUCUGAUGUUAGCGGCGGACGGGUGAGUAACACGUGGAUAACCUACCUAUAAGACUGGGAUAACUUCGGGAAACCGGAGCUAAUACCGGAUGAUAUUUUGAACCGCAUGGUUCAAAAGUGAAAGACGGUCUUGCUGUCACUUAUAGAUGGAUCCGCGCUGCAUUAGCUAGUUGGUAAGGUAACGGCUUACCAAGGCAACGAUGCAUAGCCGACCUGAGAGGGUGAUCGGCCACACUGGAACUGAGACACGGUCCAGGCUCCUACGGGAGGCAGCAGUAGGGAAUCUUCCGCAAUGGGCGAAAGCCUGACGGAGCAACGCCGCGUGAGUGAUGAAGGUCUUCGGAUCGUAAAACUCUGUUAUUAGGGAAGAACAUAUGUGUAAGUAACUGUGCACAUCUUGACGGUACCUAAUCAGAAAGCCACGGCUAACUACGUG
RNAcentral lists this ribosomal RNA (497 nucleotides) under uncultured bacterium. RNAcentral's name for it is "partial 16S ribosomal RNA". It matches the Rfam family "Bacterial small subunit ribosomal RNA", at positions 28 to 507 of the family's 1533-position model. The record is from RNAcentral.